GGAGAGGUGUCCGAGUGGUUUAAGGAGCACGCCUGGAGAGCGUGUAAUCCGAAAGGGUUCGGGGGUUCGAAUCCCCCCCUCUCCG
This 85-nucleotide transfer RNA is filed under the name Candidatus Desantisbacteria bacterium CG1_02_38_46. Its description in RNAcentral is "tRNA-Ser". It matches the Rfam family "tRNA". Rfam says of the family: Transfer RNA (tRNA) molecules are approximately 80 nucleotides in length. Their secondary structure includes four short double-helical elements and three loops (D, anti-codon, and T loops). The record is from RNAcentral. RNAcentral also lists the same sequence under 2 other names. Lineage: Bacteria; Candidatus Desantisiibacteriota.